UGGAGGCUGCGGUUCAAUUGGACUCAACGCCGGAAAACUCACCGGGAGCGACAGCUGGAUGAUAGCCGGGCUGAAGACUCUGCUUGACUAGCUGAGAGGAGGUGCAUGGCCGUCGUCAGUUCGUACUGUGAAGCAUCCUGUUAAGUCAGGCAACGAGUGAGACCCACGCCAACAGUUGCCAGCAUGUCCUCCGGGAUGAUGGGGACACUGUUGGGACCGCCUCUGCUAAAGAGGAGGAAGGAAUGGGCAACGGUAGGUCAGCAUGCCCCGAAUUAUCCGGGCUACACGCGGGCUACAAUGGUCAGGACAAUGGGUAUCGACACCGAGAGGUGGAGGCAAUCUCCUAAACCUGUCCUUAGUUCGGAUUGUGGGCUGCAACUCGCCCACAUGAAGCUGGAAUCCGUAGUAAUCGCGUUUCAAAAUAGCGCGGUGAAUAUGUCCCUGCUCCUU
RNAcentral lists this ribosomal RNA (450 nucleotides) under uncultured Methanolinea sp. Its description in RNAcentral is "bacterial SSU rRNA". It matches the Rfam family "Archaeal small subunit ribosomal RNA", at positions 889 to 1338 of the family's 1478-position model. Lineage: Archaea; Methanobacteriati; Methanobacteriota; Methanomicrobia; Methanomicrobiales; Methanoregulaceae. The record is from RNAcentral.